UAAGUAUCCGUGCUGCUAACAACUUAAUAAUUUAAGUAUCCGCCCGUUAUUAAUUAAAGUAUCCACGCUGCUAUAUUAUGCAUCCGCCCGUUAAUUAAGUAUCCGUGCUGCUAACAACUUAAUAAUUUAAGUAUCCGCCCAUUAUUAAUUAAAGUAUCCGCGCUGCUAUAUUAAGUAUCCACACUGCUAUAUUAUGUAUCCGAAAAACACUAAAAAAAGGGAUUUUUA
RNAcentral lists this long non-coding RNA (228 nucleotides) under Solanum tuberosum (potato). Its description in RNAcentral is "long non-coding RNA (STUB_LNC010390)". The record is from RNAcentral. Lineage: Eukaryota; Viridiplantae; Streptophyta; Magnoliopsida; Solanales; Solanaceae.